GAAUGAGUGAAUAAGGAAUCCUAAAAAUUAAGGGAAAUUAAUUAAUCCAUGUAUUUUACAUUAUUUUCGUUUAUUUUAGCUUCAAUUACACUGACGUGCUGAGGAUUUUCAUUUAUACUUUGAUCAGCUCCACACAAUAUGGGCCAUAAACCCAGCCAAGUUUUCUGCAUGGUGGGCACGUUCAGAAAAAUACAUUUGAUGAUCUUUUUUUGGUGCUGUCCCUUUGCCGUCCUAGGCUGCAUCUAUCCCCAGAGCUAUGAUGACACUUGUCAAGCACAGGCUCACCUCCUUUACGGAAGAAUGAAAAGGCUCCCUGCAAGGUGAAUGCAGCCCAAGCCACAGUGCAUGGCCGUGUCCAUGGAACCCAACUGCUCUGUGGAAGCCUCACACUCCCCCCGGCCAGGAGCCCAGGGGUGGGGAAGAAUCUGCACAACUAGGUUGAGAACAGGCAGUCUGACCUCUUCUAUGGAGUACUUUAAGGCAAUGAUUUUCAAACACUUUAAAGAACUCUAGGAAUUUCUUCAGAGCUGCUUCACGGACUCUGGCGAAGAGACAGGAAAUCCAACUGUUUGGGAUCCCGCNCAUGGAGUACUUUAAGGCAAUGAUUUUCAAAAUGCACUUUAAAGAACUCUAGGAAUUUCUUCAGAGCUGCUUCACGGACUCUGGCGAAGAGACAGGAAAUCCAACUGUUUGGGAUCCCGCAAGGUCAUCCACAUGGCAUAUGGCAUGUUUUACAUACUUAGCCACCACACGGGCUUUUCGGGGUAAACAGUGUGUUCUGUGUGUUUGUCUUGUCUCAGAAGCUAAGCUUUAGGAUGAUAAAAACCUGAGUACAUCUCCCCACCCCUUCUCUAGCAUCAUCAAAGAAAAAUCAGCUCUAAUUAUGUGAUAGCAUGGACCAUUUUACAAGGAAGCUGCAGUAGGAGUAGAAACAGACACAUGUAAGGGCGCCUGGGUGGCUCAGUCAGUUAAGCAUCUGCCUGAUCAGGUCAUGAUCUCAGGAUCCUGGGAUUGAACCCAGAGUCAGGUUCCCUGCUCAGCGGGGAGUCUGCUUCUCCCUCUCCCUCUGCCCCUCCGCCCUCUUGUGCACGCUCUCUCUCUCGCGCU
RNAcentral lists this long non-coding RNA (1107 nucleotides) under Ursus americanus (American black bear). Its description in RNAcentral is "lncRNA (ENSUAMG00000006958.1)". The record is from RNAcentral. Lineage: Eukaryota; Metazoa; Chordata; Mammalia; Carnivora; Ursidae.